Long non-coding RNA from Gopherus flavomarginatus (Mexican gopher tortoise), 1447 nucleotides. RefSeq lists it as uncharacterized. The record is from RefSeq and is a predicted model, not a curated record. The transcript is spliced from 3 exons. Lineage: Eukaryota; Metazoa; Chordata; Testudines; Testudinidae.
CCUGCACAAAGGGGGAUAGAAGAGCCUGUUAGUCUAGUACGCUCCCAACUGAACUAUUUCAGCAGCUGCUAGGUUUCUUUUUGGCCUCCUGCUUUUCUGUGUGGGAUGUUUUUUUCAGCUGUGGCACAGAAAAAGGACGUCACGGCGAGCAGCCCAUGAAGACAAGAUUUACUUUUGCCUUCCUCAGAUGGUUGGGGAGAGCGAGGAGCAGCACUAUGUGCUCCAUGUGUCCUGGUCACUUUCCCCACCUGGGCUGUGCUGUGAGGGGAGCAUCAGAAGCUGCUGCUCUCUGCCCUCCCGCUAUGCAGCCCAGCUGAGGAAAGUGACCUGGAUGCAGGGAGCUCGGAUGAUCUCGCUUCUCGACCCCCCACCCCUGCUAGGGAAGGCUGCUAUGUGCUGUCUUUAUGGCUGCACUUUCAGUGAUGGAGGUUUCUCUAUCCCAUUGUUCCAGGGGCCUCCUACUAGAUUGCCAGCUGCUUUUCAACUGCAGUGUGGAGACUGCUUGUGUGUGGAGAGAGACAGUAUGUGUGUUGGGGAAGGGUGAGUGUGUUGAGGUAGGUAGGAGCAGAUCAUUAUUAUCCCUACUUGAAAGAGGGAGAAGCUAAGGCUGAGAAAGGAGAAUUGACUUGUCUUAGGUCACACAGCCAGUCAGAGGCAGAGUUGGGAAUAGGAACCCAGAGCCCUGAUUUUCAAAUUUACCUUCGGAUCUUGAAUUUCAGACAUUCAAUGACCGGAAUAAAUUGCUCUCAGAGGAGCUCCAGACCAACAACAGUGCACAGUAAUUAUUCAGCAAGUAUUUGAGGAGAACUGCAAUGUUAGAGAGAAUCAUGAACUGCUCAGAGACAAUUAAUGCAGAGAAGCAGCAAAAUUCAUCAAACAUAGAACUGGUUCUGACUUAUUUCCUUGGUCUUAAAAGAGACCAACAAGGACCUGAGUCUCCUCCCUGUCAAUAACCCCCUGCUCAGGCAACCAGGGUAGAGACUGAGAACGGAAGGCUGAGGGUUCUCACCAGAGAGCCCAAAAGAUGGCCCAGGUCACUGGUGGGGAUCACUGCCUGAGCACUAUUUCAGCCCGACAUAUUUGGCUGGACUCUCCACAGUGAGAGCUGCAGAGCACUCCCCUGAAAAACACACACACAGACGUCUCCUAGUGUUGGGAGGGGAACAGGAGAAAGGAGAAAAGCAAGAGACAAAGAAAAAGGAGAGAGGGAUGGAUGGAGGAAACGGUGAAACAAAAAGGACAAACCCUAAUGUCUGCAGUGAUUCUAAGGGACAAAAUCCCAGGUGAGCAAUAAAAUUCUGCCUCCUUAAGCUCGUGUUUUCCAUGCCUAGAAUUCAACUGUCACCAGAUGGAUCAGACUGAACAGGUUUCAAACCUCCAGGAGGCUCUUACCUUCUAAACAGGGACGGCUGUUUUCUAGUAAAAUCACAAAAAGGGAAGGAGAAAA